This 253-nucleotide ribosomal RNA is filed under the name uncultured bacterium. Its description in RNAcentral is "partial 16S ribosomal RNA". It matches the Rfam family "Bacterial small subunit ribosomal RNA", at positions 524 to 776 of the family's 1533-position model. The record is from RNAcentral.
UACGUAGGGGGCAAGCGUUGUCCGGAUUUAUUGGGCGUAAAGAGCGUGUAGGCGGCCAGACAGGUCCAUUGUGAAAACUAGAGGCUUAACCUCUAGACGUCGAUGGAAACCGUCUGGCUAGAGUCCGGAAGAGGAGAAUGGAAUUCCUGGUGUAGCGGUGAAAUGCGCAGAUAUCAGGAAGAACACCCGUGGCUAAGGCGGUUCUCUAGUACGGUACUGACGCUGAGACGCGAAAGCGUGGGGAGCGAACAGG